CGACCUCGAGCGCAGCUUGGUGUUGAGGGCUGCCCCGGCACCCUUUAAAAGCAUCGGCGGCAGCGCAGCUUUAUCGCAGCACAAUGCGUGAAGAGCUGUCACCUGCCCGCCUCGCACCCCUUUAUUACAA
This 130-nucleotide unclassified non-coding RNA is filed under the name uncultured Ascomycota. RNAcentral describes it as "sequence contains ITS2". Lineage: Eukaryota; Fungi; Ascomycota. The record is from RNAcentral.